This 558-nucleotide ribosomal RNA is filed under the name Triticum aestivum (bread wheat). RNAcentral describes it as "partial small subunit ribosomal RNA". The record is from RNAcentral. Lineage: Eukaryota; Viridiplantae; Streptophyta; Magnoliopsida; Poales; Poaceae.
AUGGGGAUUGGAGCUAUAACCGCGAAUUAUGUAAAUGCUCACUCACCUAGAGCAAAGAGAAAGAAUGAAGGAUGGUGCAGACCUCCAAUAGGGUUUGUUAAAUUGAAUGUGGAUGCUUCUUUUGAUCAUGAUCAGCUACGGGGCACAGCGGGUGCUGUUAUCAGAGAUGAUAAAGAAAACUUCAUAGUAGGUGGUAAUUGGAAGAUUCAGUACUGUGCGGAUGCUCUGACAGCGGAGGCGUUAGCCGUCAGGUUUGGUUUACUGUUGGCACAAAAAACGGGCUGCAAUCGUCUCAUUAUCAAUUCAGAUAAUAUGGAAGUCAUUGACACAAUGAAGAACGGUGGAGAGUCUGCGGGAGCAGCAGCGUUUUGAGGAUUGUUUUUCAUGGCCUGUGAUUUUCCACAAACCAGUUUUGAACAUUGUAACAGAGAAGCUUACAAAGUAGCUAAUGAGCUUUCUAGAUUAGCAAAAUGUUCCACAACUAGGGAUUGGAUAGAGGAGCCCAUGGUAAAUCUUGUAACUCUUCUGAUAGACGAUGUAACCAUUAUCUCUAAUUAA